CGCGUGCGGCCUGUAUUCCUGGUGCUCUUUGAUUUGAACAGAAUCAUGUCACCUGAGGAUUUGCCGGUUUGCGCUCCCAGAAUCUCCAUGGAAAUGGUGACUACCGCUGAUGGUGCCAGCUAUCCUCUUCUUCCUGAUUUUAAAGAAAAUGAUUUUAAUAAUUAAACCUUAAAAUUUUUAUUU
Molecule: long non-coding RNA, 183 nt
Organism: Chinchilla lanigera (long-tailed chinchilla)
Lineage: Eukaryota; Metazoa; Chordata; Mammalia; Rodentia; Chinchillidae
Exons: 2
Source: RefSeq, a predicted model, not a curated record